Molecule: ribosomal RNA, 552 nt
Filed under: Rhodotorula mucilaginosa
Lineage: Eukaryota; Fungi; Basidiomycota; Microbotryomycetes; Sporidiobolales; Sporidiobolaceae
Description: LSU rRNA
Rfam family: Eukaryotic large subunit ribosomal RNA
Source: RNAcentral
GCGAGCGAGCGGGAAGAGCUCAAAUUUAUAAUCUGGCACCUUCGGUGUCCGAGUUGUAAUCUCUAGAAAUGUUUUCCGCGUUGGACCGCACACAAGUCUGUUGGAAUACAGCGGCAUAGUGGUGAGACCCCCGUAUAUGGUGCGGACGCCCAGCGCUUUGUGAUACAUUUUCGAAGAGUCGAGUUGUUUGGGAAUGCAGCUCAAAUUGGGUGGUAAAUUCCAUCUAAAGCUAAAUAUUGGCGAGAGACCGAUAGCGAACAAGUACCGUGAGGGAAAGAUGAAAAGCACUUUGGAAAGAGAGUUAACAGUACGUGAAAUUGUUGGAAGGGAAACGCUUGAAGUCAGACUUGCUUGCCGAGCAAUCGGUUUGCAGGCCAGCAUCAGUUUUCCGGGAUGGAUAAUGGUAGAGAGAAGGUAGCAGUUUCGGCUGUGUUAUAGCUCUCUGCUGGAUACAUCUUGGGGGACUGAGGAACGCAGUGUGCCUUUGGCGGGGGUUUCGACCUCUUCACACUUAGGAUGCUGGUGGAAUGGCUUUAAACGACCCGUCUUGAA